Non-coding RNA from Pelobates cultripes (western spadefoot toad), 265 nucleotides. NCBI's taxonomy places the organism in Eukaryota, Metazoa, Chordata, Amphibia, Anura, Pelobatidae. The record is from the annotation of a GenBank genome assembly.
UUUUAUGACUGGAGUUUUCACUUUGUAAAGAUACCAGUGCCACCUAGAGGUAGCAACCUGUAACUUGCUUUGCUGCUUGGAUAAUAAAAUAUAUAUGUUGGAGGUUUUAUCAGUGAGAAUAAGGGUAACUGUUAACUGGACGCUUACAUUGAUGUAAUUAAAAUCUCCAAUACACUAUAUAGAUCUAUGCAAAUAUAAUUUAAAUUAUAGAAUCUUCUCAAUGGGUUUAGGCAGAGAAUAGUCUGCAUUCAUACCUUGACAAGUG